UGGGGAAUAUUGGACAAUGGGCGCAAGCCUGAUCCAGCCAUACCGCGUGGGUGAAGAAGGCCUUCGGGUUGUAAAGCCCUUUUGUUGGGAAAGAAAUCCAGCCGGUUAGUACCUGGUUGGGAUGACGGUACCCAAAGAAUAAGCACCGGCUAACUUCGUGCCAGCAGCCGCGGCAAUACGAAGGGUGCAAGCGUUACUCGGAAUUACUGGGCGUAAAGCGUGCGUAGGUGGUCGUUUAAGUCCGUUGUGAAAGCCCUGGGCUCAACCUGGGAACUGCAGUGGAUACUGGGCGACUAGAGUGUGGUAGAGGGUAGCGGAAUUCCUGGUGUAGCAGUGAAAUGCGUAGAGAUCAGGAGGAACAUCCAUGGCGAAGGCAGCUACCUGGACCAACACUGACACUGAGGCACGAAAGCGUGGGGAGCAAACAGGAUUAGAUACCCUGGUAGUCCACGCCCUAAACGAUGCGAACUGGAUGUUGGGUGCAAUUUUGGCACGCAGUAUCGAAGCUAACGCGUAAGUCGCCGCCUGGGAGUACGGUCGCAAGACUGAAACUCAAAUGAAUUGACGGGGUCAUAGC
RNAcentral lists this ribosomal RNA (577 nucleotides) under uncultured bacterium. RNAcentral describes it as "partial 16S ribosomal RNA". It matches the Rfam family "Bacterial small subunit ribosomal RNA", at positions 355 to 925 of the family's 1533-position model. The record is from RNAcentral.